RNAcentral lists this ribosomal RNA (474 nucleotides) under Meyerozyma guilliermondii. Its description in RNAcentral is "eukaryotic LSU rRNA". It matches the Rfam family "Eukaryotic large subunit ribosomal RNA", at positions 77 to 558 of the family's 3401-position model. Lineage: Eukaryota; Fungi; Ascomycota; Pichiomycetes; Serinales; Debaryomycetaceae. The record is from RNAcentral.
CCCUUUAUAGCGGCGAGUGAGCGGCAAAAGCUCAAUUUGAAAUCUGGCGCCUUCGGUGUCCGAGUUGUAAUUUGAAGAUUGUAACCUUGGGGUUGGCUCUUGUCUAUGUUUCUUGGAACAGGACGUCACAGAGGGUGAGAAUCCCGUGCGAUGAGAUGCCCAAUUCUAUGUAAGGUGCUUUCGAAGAGUCGAGUUGUUUGGGAAUGCAGCUCUAAGUGGGUGGUAAAUUCCAUCUAAAGCUAAAUAUUGGCGAGAGACCGAUAGCGAACAAGUACAGUGAUGGAAAGAUGAAAAGAACUUUGAAAAGAGAGUGAAAAAGUACGUGAAAUUGUUGAAAGGGAAGGGUUUGAGAUCAGACUCGAUAUUUUGUGAGCCUUGCCUUCGUGGCGGGGUGACCCGCAGCUUAUCGGGCCAGCAUCGGUUUGGGCGGUAGGAUAAUGGCGUAGGAAUGUGACUUUACUUCGGUGAAGUGUU